This 253-nucleotide ribosomal RNA is filed under the name uncultured bacterium. Its description in RNAcentral is "partial 16S ribosomal RNA". It matches the Rfam family "Bacterial small subunit ribosomal RNA", at positions 524 to 776 of the family's 1533-position model. The record is from RNAcentral.
UACGUAGGGUGCAAGCGUUGUCCGGAAUCAUUGGGCGUAAAGCGCGCGUAGGUGGUCAUGUAAGUCCGCUGUGAAAGUCAAAGGCUCAACCUUUGAAAGCCGGUGGAUACUGCAUCACUGGAGUUCGGCAGGGGAGACUGGAAUUCCUGGUGUAGCGGUGAAAUGCGCAGAUAUCAGGAGGAACACCGAUGGCGAAGGCAGGUCUCUGGGCCACUACUGACGCUGAGAAGCGAAAGCAUGGGGAGCGAACAGG